Molecule: ribosomal RNA, 328 nt
Filed under: uncultured Acidovorax sp.
Lineage: Bacteria; Pseudomonadati; Pseudomonadota; Betaproteobacteria; Burkholderiales; Comamonadaceae
Description: bacterial SSU rRNA
Rfam family: Bacterial small subunit ribosomal RNA
Source: RNAcentral
UGUCGUCAGCUCGUGUCGUGAGAUGUUGGGUUAAGUCCCGCAACGAGCGCAACCCUUGUCAUUAGUUGCUACAUUCAGUUGGGCACUCUAAUGAGACUGCGGUGACAACCGGAAGGAAGGGUAGGGGAUGACGUCAAGUCCUCAUGGCCCUUAUAGGUGGGCUACACACGUCAUACAAUGGAUGGUACAAAGGGUCGCCAACCCGCAGGGGAGCCAAUCCCAUAAAGCCAUUCGUAGUCCGGAUCGCAGUCUGCAACUCGACUGCGUGAAGUCGGAAUCGCUAGUAAUCGUGGAUCAGAAUGUCACGGUGAAUACGUUCCCGGGUCUU